GACGAACGCUGGCGGCGUGCUUAACACAUGCAAGUCGAACGGAAAGGCCCUGCUUUUGUGGGGUGCUCGAGUGGCGAACGGGUGAGUAACACGUGAGUAACCUGCCCUUGACUUUGGGAUAACUUCAGGAAACUGGGGCUAAUACCGGAUAGGAGCUCCUGCUGCAUGGUGGGGGUUGGAAAGUUUCGGCGGUUGGGGAUGGACUCGCGGCUUAUCAGCUUGUUGGAGGGGUAGUGGCUUACCAAGGCUUUGACGGGUAGCCGGCCUGAGAGGGUGACCGGCCACAUUGGGACUGAGAUACGGCCCAGACUCCUACGGGAGGCAGCAGUGGGGAAUAUUGCACAAUGGGCGGAAGCCUGAUGCAGCAACGCCGCGUGCGGGAUGACGGCCUUCGGGUUGUAAACCGCUUUCGCCUGUGACGAAGCGUGGGUGACGGUAAUGGGUAAAGAAGCACCGGCUAACUACGUG
Molecule: ribosomal RNA, 468 nt
Filed under: uncultured bacterium
Lineage: Bacteria
Description: partial 16S ribosomal RNA
Rfam family: Bacterial small subunit ribosomal RNA
Source: RNAcentral